GGCGGACGGGUGAGUAAUGCCUAGGAAUCUGCCUGGUAGUGGGGGACAACGUUUCGAAAGGAACGCUAAUACCGCAUACGUCCUACGGGAGAAAGCAGGGGACCUUCGGGCCUUGCGCUAUCAGAUGAGCCUAGGUCGGAUUAGCUAGUAGGUGAGGUAAUGGCUCACCUAGGCGACGAUCCGUAACUGGUCUGAGAGGAUGAUCAGUCACACUGGAACUGAGACACGGUCCAGACUCCUACGGGAGGCAGCAGUGGGGAAUAUUGGACAAUGGGCGAAAGCCUGAUCCAGCCAUGCCGCGUGUGUGAAGAAGGUCUUCGGAUUGUAAAGCACUUUAAGUUGGGAGGAAGGGCAGUAAGUUAAUACCUUGCUGUUUUGACGUUACCAACAGAAUAAGCACCGGCUAACUUCGUGCCAGCAGCCGCGGUAAUACGAAGGGUGCAAGCGUUAAUCGGAAUUACUGGGCGUAAAGCGCGCGUAGGUGGUUCAGCAAGUUGGAGGUGAAAUCCCCGGGCUCAACCUGGGAACUGCCUC
RNAcentral lists this ribosomal RNA (534 nucleotides) under uncultured bacterium. RNAcentral's name for it is "bacterial SSU rRNA". It matches the Rfam family "Bacterial small subunit ribosomal RNA", at positions 97 to 627 of the family's 1533-position model. The record is from RNAcentral.